CCUACGGGGCGCAGCAGUGGGGAAUAUUGGACAAUGGGCGAAAGCCUGAUCCAGCCAUGCCGCGUGUGUGAAGAAGGCCUUCGGGUUGUAAAGCACUUUCAGUGGGGAAGAAAGCCUUGGGGCUAAUACCCUCGAGGAAGGACAUCACCCACAGAAGAAGCACCGGCUAACUCCGUGCCAGCAGCCGCGGUAAUACGGAGGGUGCGAGCGUUAAUCGGAAUUACUGGGCGUAAAGCGCGCGUAGGCGGUCUGAUAAGCCGGUUGUGAAAGCCCCGGGCUCAACCUGGGAACGGCAUCCGGAACUGUCAGGCUAGAGUGCAGGAGAGGAAGGUAGAAUUCCCGGCGUAGCGGUGAAAUGCGUAGAGAUCGGGAGGAAUACCAGUGGCGAAGGCGGCCUUCUGGACUGACACUGACGCUGAGGUGCGAAAGCGUGGGUAGCAAACAGGAUUAGAUACCCCUGUAGUC
This 465-nucleotide ribosomal RNA is filed under the name Vreelandella stevensii. RNAcentral's name for it is "partial 16S ribosomal RNA". It matches the Rfam family "Bacterial small subunit ribosomal RNA", at positions 338 to 795 of the family's 1533-position model. Lineage: Bacteria; Pseudomonadati; Pseudomonadota; Gammaproteobacteria; Oceanospirillales; Halomonadaceae. The record is from RNAcentral.